GACGAACGCUGGCGGCGUGCUUAACACAUGCAAGUCGAACGGAAAGGCCCUGCUUUUGUGGGGUGCUCGAGUGGCGAACGGGUGAGUAACACGUGAGUAACCUGCCCUUGACUUUGGGAUAACUUCAGGAAACUGGGGCUAAUACCGGAUAGGAGCUCCUGCUGCAUGGUGGGGGUUGGAAAGUUUCGGCGGUUGGGGAUGGACUCGCGGCUUAUCAGCUUGUUGGUGGGGUAGUGGCUUACCAAGGCUUUGACGGGUAGCCGGCCUGAGAGGGUGACCGGCCACAUUGGGACUGAGAUACGGCCCAGACUCCAACGGGAGGCAGCAGUGGGGAAUAUUGCACAAUGGGCGGAAGCCUGAUGCAGAAACGCCGCGUGCGGGAUGACGGCCUUCGGGUUGUAAACCGCUUUAGCCUGUGACGAAGCGUGAGUGACGGUAAUGGGUAAAGAAGCACCGGCUAACUACGUG
RNAcentral lists this ribosomal RNA (468 nucleotides) under uncultured bacterium. RNAcentral's name for it is "partial 16S ribosomal RNA". It matches the Rfam family "Bacterial small subunit ribosomal RNA", at positions 28 to 507 of the family's 1533-position model. The record is from RNAcentral.